AUAGUCGCGACGUAGUUGAUCAUGGCUCGAGAGAACGCUGGCGGCGUGCCUAACACAUGCAAGUCGAACGAGAAUCAUGGAACGGAGGCUUCGGCCAAAGGGAAGUGAGGAAAGUGGCGAACGGGUGAGUAACGCGUGAGGAACCUGCCUUUCAGUGGGGGACAACAGUUGGAAACGACUGCUAAUACCGCAUAACAUAUCGGGACCGCAUGAUCUUGAUAUCAAAGCUUUAUGUGCUGAAAGAUGGCCUCGCGUCUGAUUAGCUAGUUGGAGGGGGUAACGGCCCACCAAGGCGACGAUCAGUAGCCGGUCUGAGAGGAUGAACGGCCACAUUGGGACUGAGAUACGGCCCAGACUCCUACGGGAGGCAGCAGUGGGGAAUAUUGGGCAAUGGGGGAAACCCUGACCCAGCAACGCCGCGUGAAGGAAGAAGGCUUUCGGGUUGUAAACUUCUUUACCAGGGACGAAGGACGUGACGGUACCUGGAGAAAAAGCAACGGCUAACUACGUG
This 511-nucleotide ribosomal RNA is filed under the name uncultured bacterium. RNAcentral describes it as "bacterial SSU rRNA". It matches the Rfam family "Bacterial small subunit ribosomal RNA", at positions 1 to 507 of the family's 1533-position model. The record is from RNAcentral.